This is a long non-coding RNA of Heterocephalus glaber (naked mole-rat), 5697 nucleotides long. NCBI's taxonomy places the organism in Eukaryota, Metazoa, Chordata, Mammalia, Rodentia, Bathyergidae. The record is from Ensembl.
UGGGAGGAGAACUUUUCUAUUCUAAGACAGGAUCUUGGGUUAGCUCAACAGAUCAGGAAUGAUCAGGAGUAUAAGACUUUCUUUAUAAUACAGAACAUUUACCUUGGAUAUCAAGGAGUGGCCAAGGCUUAAUUUAAAAAAUGACUGCUGUAUCCUACUGCUCCCCUCAAAACCUGAAUUUUUCAAGGACAUCAGAAAAAGCGCUUAAGUAAUCCUUGGCUUUGGGCCAUGGGGUAUGGUGUGGUAAAGGGAAGAUUUUGGAAUCUCAUACUAGAAAGAUAAAAAGAGGAGUAUCAGAGUGGCUGCAAUCCAGCGCUCUGCAGAAAGGUGGAGGUGCAAGUUCAGGGAGUCAAAACUUCGGGAAGCUGUGGAGGGGACAGAGAGCAAGGGUAAAAAGCAAGCCAGCUUCUCCUCUCCGGGCAAAGGCAAGCCUCUAGCUCUUGGCACAAAGGCAUCUUCACUGUGGCCUGAUCUUGCCAGCGUCAAUUCUGAGAGACUCUGAAAGGGGUGAGACCAUCAAGGGAGUGACUUAUCAUGGCUCAGUUCCCAUGUCAAGGGGCUGAGUUGAGCUGGGAGCCUUGGUGUCACCCAACAAUCACUGCUGGUGGUGCUGUGAUGAUGUCACAGAGGAGCCCCACCCUGGUGUCCUCGGAGCUGGACCAAGGACCCAGAAGGAAAGUCCACCUUCCCAGCACAGCUGAGCCGUCCACCCUCUCGGCUACUUGUCAGGCUGACUACCAGCUCAAAGGGGUGAGCAGUAUCUGGACAGCUGGAAAUGCUGCUCUUUCAGUUUUCCUGUCCAGGGAGUGACAUACUACACAGGGAAGGAGGGCUGCAUUUGUUAAAAGUUCCCGGUUGUUUUCGUAGCGAGAACUAGUGUGCAUCUCACCCUGGAAAAUAGUCUUAGCAAUGUGAGAGUUUGAUUUAAUGAUCCGCAUUCCCAGAGAACUGUGCUGAUUUUAAAACUCAGCUAAACUGUCCAUGGAGAAAACCUAGCCCAAAGCAAACUCAGCAGAACAGAAGAGGACUCCCUUCUGAAAAUCGUAUUUCGUGGCUCUAAUGUGCACAUUUCUGAUAAGUUCAAUUUUCACAGUUUGUCUCCUCCUCUCCUGAUUUUUCCCUCACCCUAAAUGCUUGGCAGAAUCUGAGUGGAGGCAAGGGAAGGGGAAGUUUAGUCUGGCCCAUGGAUAGCAGGGUUUAAUUACCGUUCUGGCCCCCCAUCCUUAGGAGAAGAAAGUAACUUUCAAGACUUCGGUAGCAUAGGUAGACCACAGGAUAAAAAGAAUUGCCUGGGUCCACUCACAUACCACCCACUUAUCUCUAGAAAGAUGGGGAAGUAGCCUUGUGGGAGUUCUUCAGAACCUUUACUGGACCAUGGAUGCCUUUAGCACUGGGCUCACAGAGUUAUGGAUGGUUUUAAUGAAUUGCACUAAACACCUGGGGUUACAGAAAACAUCAACUGUAUUUUUUCCCAUUUUUUUAUUAGUACACAUUUGCAAUACAUGUGUUUCACAAUCAUCUUGGGGAGUAGGUACAUGUAUAUAAUACAGCUUCUUUUUAAAAUCCCCUUCCCUUUCCCUUCCUGCUCCCCCUCCUCCUGUAAUUCUCCUUUUCUCCUUUUCAUUCCUGUUGAUAUUAUUAAGCUUUGUUCAUGUUCAUGGCAUAUAAAGUUUGCAUUCAUUGAAGUUAUUAGGAUCAUGUACAGGGUUAUGUCUGUUGGGAUUUUACCUUUUUCAUUUCUAAUUGCAUUGAUGUGAGUCUUUUCUUUCUCUUGAUGAGUCUGCCCAAGGGCUUACCUAUUUUAUUUAUUCUUCCAAAGAACCAACUCUUUGACUCAUUGAUAUUUUUAUACCUUUUUUUUCCUCAAUUUCAUUGAUUUCUGCUUUCAUCUUUAUAACAUCCCUCAAUUUCAUUUUGGGACUGGAUUGUUGUUGUUUCUCAAGUAUCUUAAGAUCCUUCAAAAAAUUAUUUAUUCGUGGUUGCUCUAUUUUCCUAAUGUGAACACUGAUUGCAAUGAACUUUCUUCUUAGAACUGCUUUCUGCCCCCAGAGGUUUCAGUGAGUUUUCAGUCAUUAUCAGUAACUUCCAGAAAUUUUUUAAUUUCUUUUUUGAUUUCUUGUCACCCACCGGUUGUUCAGGACUGUGUUGUUAGUUUUCCAGGAGCUUGUACUUUUUCUGUGAUUUCUUCUGUCAUUUGCUUUCUAUUUUCAUUGUUCAAUCGUCUGAUAAUAUGCAUGGGGUAAUUUCAAUUAAUUCAAUUAAUAUUUACUUCAGCAGGCUUUGUGGAAUAGUAUGUGAUCUAUUUAAAAAAAAAAAAUGCCAUGCGCUCCAGAAAAGCAUGUAUACUCUGUUAUAGAGGGCUGGAAUACUCUGUAGAUGUCUAAUAAGUCCAUAUGUUCUCAACUAUAUUGAAAUGGUUUUUAGGGUUGUUGAAGGGGAGGAGCAUCCCAGGACCCUAGGUUAAGAGCUGCCCUAGAGUUGGUAGAACAGAAACAGAAAAGAGACCAGCAGCCAGAGUAAAGGUGGAGGGACCAGGACACGCUGCCACAAAUCCACAGAGAGGCCUGCACAAUCCAGAAACAAUGUCAACGGACGAUAUGAGUAAGCCUAGCAACCCCAAGACCCCUGAGCCCAAGCACUGUGAUCCCAGGUGUGAACAGAAGUGUGAGUCCAGCUGCCAGCCCAGCUAUUUAAAGAAGCUGCUGCGAGGCUGCUCUGAAAAGUGCUCACGCGAGAAGUGUCCUCCACCUCCAGAGUGCCCGCCGGCCGUGCCCCCCCAAGCCCUGCUCCAAGCCUUGCCCUCCUAAGUGCACCCCUGCCUGCCCACCCCCAGAGUGAGGCACCAUGGUUGCCACCACCAUGCCGCCACCACGGCCCCGUACGACGCCUGCGGCUGGAACCCAAGCCCUGACCUGACGAGUAAAGGUGACUUCUGCUGCGCAUGGCCUCCCAGGGUCCUGGGGGGUUUGCUUUCCUCCGUCGUCAUCGUUUCAGAGCAUGGAAGCACCAAGAACCAAUCCCUAAGGAGCGAGUGGGACCAGAGUUCCAGACCUCCACUACCAAAGCCCUUCGAGUCCCCGCUGCCCUCUGUCCCUGUCUGCUUCUUAGAGGAAGCUGCCCGUCCUGCAGAGUGCAUCGCAGGAGCACAGGCCCCUGGGAGAACAGUGAACAUGGCGGCAGCUGGGAAAAUGCAGGAACCCCAGGGAGUGAAACGUAGAGGGCCUGAGAGGAAAAGCGGAGGCGGACUUUAGCAAACUCUUAGUACGGUAUCCUAAUGGCUAUGCAGAUGGCUCUGAGAACCCACCGUGUGGGUUUAAACUCUAGCUCUGUUUCCUAGCAACUUUGUGAUUUAUGCAAGUUAUUUAAUUUUUCUGUGCCUCAGUUUCCUUCUCACUGCCGAAGUUGCAGCACUGUUCUGAGACUCGGAAGCUGACAAAUGCCUGGUGCACAGGGUACUGGAACAUAGGGGUACUGAGUGGAGGGAGUACCCUACACUUGGCCGGGCCUAACACUCACACAACUUAAUUGCCUGCACUUUUCUUCCUCGACGAAGUGUAAGACUCCUGAGCACACCGGUCAGGCUCUAAUACAACCCGCUAGACCCAGCUGGACAGUCUCACAAAAAUAGAAAAGGAGUUGUAUCCAUUCCUUGGGUUUGAUGCUGAGCUAUCCAAUGAUGUAACGUCACUAUUGAGAGGGUCCCAGUGAAAGGGACACAGGAGCUCUACUUUGCAGUUUUCUGUAAAUCUGUAGUAUUUCCAAAUGAAAACUUAGAUACAAAAAACUAGAUAUGUAUGUGGGGGGACCCCGUUAGGAAUGGACAGAGAGAAGGCACUCACAGCUAACACCUUAGUGGGGAUUAUUUACAAAGAGCUAGAGUCCACAUCAGACUGGCUUAAUUCACAAGAGGGAAUUUACUGGCUCAUGUUGCUGAGGAUAUGCAAGAGAGACAUUAGCACAGAGAACUGCAGCAACAAGGAAGCCCUUCAGGGGAUGGGUACGCAGAUUGCUCCUCCAUUUUAGUCUCUCUCAGCGCCCUGAGAUAUAUCCCACCCUCUCCUAAUGUCUCCCCCUGUGCACAAAUUGGGUAUGAGGACACUCCAGUUGUCUCCAGGAAAGGACACUGGUGGCCUAGAAGGUCAUGUGCCCACCCCUUUAGGCAAGCAGAUGACAGAGCUCUGCCAAGCAGAUCAACCGAGCUAUGGAUUAUUACAGUCCACAGUAUCUAAAUGGAAGUAGGUUUAGCAUUCUCUACAGUCAUAGGAAGAGGUCAUAAAAAAGGUCAGCUCUGGGAUGUUCUCCAAAUCAUGGCAUAUCAACAGCUCCAUCCUCCUCAGGCUAGAGGACGGUUCAGGCAACAGAGGGUAUGGCAAGUACAGAGAGUUCAAACUAUGCCAAAAAAAAAAAAAAAAAAGAUACCAGAGACCCCCUUUAAGACCCAGGCCUUGUCAUCAGCUAGUUACAGAUGUAGGCCAUUAGAAGAGGGAGCAAGACAAUGACUUUAGGGGUCCACCUCCUCAUUUUUCAAAUGUGAAAACUAGUGGUUACUUGUCUAAUGUGAAGAUGACUUGAAACCUCAGGGUCUCUAGGACAGGAUGAAAGCCUGAUCCUAGGAUCUCACACUCCAGAGCUCUGUACAGUACUGUCUGCUGGAGGCCAAGAACCACUAGAACCCCAUGUCAGAGCCAUGCGGGCUAUGGUGGAUGGCCGAUGACCACAGGAAAACCCUCCCACCUCACAGGAGAUCAUAAAGAAGGAAGCAAAAGGCUGAAGGUGAAGCUCAGAGUACAGCAAUUGCCUAACAUGCACAAAGCCCUGAGUUUGAUCCCCAGCACAGGGGAUAAAGAGGAACAAAAAGGAAGAAGGGGAAGAAAGGAAGGGGGAGAGAAUAAUGUGACACCCUUUUGCAUCUAUUAAAUGAUCACUUUCAAUUAAUAAGUCCCAGAACUCCCAUGUGAAAAUUGUGUCACUGUCAGUUGGAAUAUAAAUAAAUAUCAUUUUAGGAAACAAUUUGUCCAACAAGAUAAUAGACAUCAAAGGCAUGAAGUGAUUCACUAUUUUGACUCAAAGGAUUUACUUUAUAGAACUUAGGGCCAAAAAAAAUUUCUAACUGGGAAGAAAAAAUAAUUGCAAAAUGGGAGGAAAUGCUGUAUAAACAAAAGUGAUCAUCAUAGUAUAACUUUAAAAAUUCCAAUAUCUAACAAUGCAUGAUUAAAUGAACACGAACCUAUUACUCCAUGGAGUAUUACAGUCAUUUAAAAUGUACUGAAGAGGGGAUGUGGCUCAGUGAUGGAGUGCUUGCCUUGCGUGCAGUAGGCCCUGGGGUCCAAUCUCCAGCAAGAAAAGAAAAAUGUACUGAAGAAAAAAAAAGCUCACUUGAAUGUGCAUCAUAAAACAAUUAUCUGUAACAAAAAGCUUCAAUGAAUAAAAAUAAUAGAAAUUAAUUUGUGAACAUUCUAUGUUAGCAUAAUGGGGUGAUGAGUAAUGAUUACUUUUAUUUUUACUGGUGUUGUUAAUAUGCUUUUAUUUUAUAACAGGAAAAAUAAAUAAUCAUGAAAUAAUAAUUCAUUAAAUAAGUAUGAGCACUUCAGAGACCUCCCCAGAGUUCCCGGAAGACUUUAGCAGAGUAUCUCAGGGGACGUGCACCAUGCAGAUGGCACCUCACUUGGGUGCCUUCCGCCUGGAGUACCACUGCCG